GGGCGGUUAGCUCAGUUGGUUAGAGCACUAGCUCGACACGCUAGGGGUCGGCAGUUCGAGUCUGCCACCGCCCA
This 74-nucleotide transfer RNA is filed under the name Spirochaeta africana DSM 8902. RNAcentral describes it as "tRNA-Val (GAC) (tRNA-Val-GAC-1-1)". The record is from RNAcentral. RNAcentral also lists the same sequence under 1 other name. Lineage: Bacteria; Pseudomonadati; Spirochaetota; Spirochaetia; Spirochaetales; Spirochaetaceae.